CCUUCUAUUUUUGUUUUAGGUCCAACUAGGGGGAGAAAGCAGAAGGGAGGGGCUUCCUAGCUUUGCCCCUUUCUGUAUCCUGCUGGCAGCUGUGGCAGGGAUUGAGUGUGAGGAGGCGUGGGGACAUGAAUGAGCUUCCCCACUGCAGCAUUUGCCUUGAGUGGAGGAUGGGGUAAACUUCCCAGUGUAGCCCAGAAAAAAAUCUAGCUCACAAUGGCUAAAGAAUGUUGACUUAACAGCCAUAUAGGCACCUGCAGACACAGGUUGUAUGACUGGAGUGCAUCUGUUGAACGCUGUUGCAGUCAUAUCACAGGCGAAAUAGGACUUACUGGGCUAGCCUGGCCCUGGUCACUGUGAGUGCAUCAUUUUAGAACAUCAUUAUCUUGGUAAAAAGGAAAGACCACAUUCUAAGUUCCAAACAGCUGACUCAUGAGCGGACUUUUGGAAGCCACCAAUCCUUUGUCAUUGAGAGCUGCCUGAUCGCAGGGUCACACAGAAGGGUAUAAAGGCCGGACUUCAGGCAGCCAUGCGAGCAUGCUCACAGAGGCCGAGUCGUGUGGCAAGCCUCCUGGAGAAGUCUGCAGCCUUCCUGCUCCUAAGAAGGCUCCUGAAGUGGAGAAAUGAAGUCUGCAGUGAAGGAAGUCCUGCGACCCACGGAUCCGGCUCAUGAAGCUCGCAGGCUGCUCCCGGCUGGAGCUUCGGAAUAAAAUUUAGAAGGUAGAAUGAAAUCGGAUUGCUGUUUUCAAAGGAAAUGAGGUAGCUGCAAAAGGCAGUGGGGAGUGGGUAUAUAUGAGAUAGAUAAAUACUUGCUCAUUGCUUUUCAGAGAUUUUAAAAUUAGAUAUUGUAGAUUGUACAGUUUCUCUCUGUAUACACACACAAUACAUACAUAUAUGUACAUAUACACACAAAUCUAUAUGGAGGUGUUUUAAGCAAAAAAGCAAAAAAAAUCCACAACAUCCUUCAUAUAUACACAUACAGGAAAUAUAUUUUAAGCAAAAUACAUGAUUUGCACUUUGGGUAAGGAUUUGAAUGGGCCUCUUAGAAAUAUGAGGAAAUACUGUGAAUACAAGAAAGAAGGGAUGAAAACCUGAGUGCACCAACUCUAAAGGUAAAAAAAAAAAAAAAAUUGUAGACAGUUAAAAUGUCCGUCUCUGUACACACGCACACCUACACGUUCACACUUCCUCUGUUUACUAAAUAACAUUUCAGCACAGUUUUCAUCUUAUAAGGAAAGUGUUUGAAACUUGGAAUAAGUGCACUUAAUUAAAGGAAGGCUGUGAAAAUGUGCACUAAUCUGAU
Molecule: long non-coding RNA, 1300 nt
Filed under: Papio anubis (olive baboon)
Lineage: Eukaryota; Metazoa; Chordata; Mammalia; Primates; Cercopithecidae
Description: lncRNA (ENSPANG00000047827.1)
Source: RNAcentral